CGUAGGGGGCAAGCGUUGUCCGGAAUUAUUGGGCGUAAAGAGCGUGUAGGCGGUCCGGUCAGUCGGCUGUGAAAGUCCAGGGCUCAACCCUGGGAUGCCGGUCGAUACUGCCGGACUAGAGUUCGGAAGAGGCGAGUGGAAUUCCCGGUGUAGCGGUGAAAUGCGCAGAUAUCGGGAGGAACACCUAUGGCGAAGGCAGCUCGCUGGGACGUUACUGACGCUGAGACGCGAAAGCGUGGGGAGCAAACAGGAUUAGAUACCCUGGUAGUCCACGCCGUAAACGAUGGGCACUAGGUGUGGGAGGUGUCGACUCCUCCCGUGCCGGAGCUAACGCAUUAAGUGCCCCGCCUGGGGAGUACGGCCGCAAGGCUA
RNAcentral lists this ribosomal RNA (372 nucleotides) under uncultured organism. RNAcentral's name for it is "bacterial SSU rRNA". It matches the Rfam family "Bacterial small subunit ribosomal RNA", at positions 526 to 896 of the family's 1533-position model. The record is from RNAcentral.